Molecule: ribosomal RNA, 858 nt
Filed under: Escherichia coli
Lineage: Bacteria; Pseudomonadati; Pseudomonadota; Gammaproteobacteria; Enterobacterales; Enterobacteriaceae
Description: partial 23S ribosomal RNA
Rfam family: Bacterial large subunit ribosomal RNA
Source: RNAcentral
UGUAUAAUGGGUCAGCGACUUAUAUUCUGUAGCAAGGUUAACCGAAUAGGGGAGCCGAAGGGAAACCGAGUCUUAACUGGGCGUUAAGUUGCAGGGUAUAGACCCGAAACCCGGUGAUCUAGCCAUGGGCAGGUUGAAGGUUGGGUAACACUAACUGGAGGACCGAACCGACUAAUGUUGAAAAAUUAGCGGAUGACUUGUGGCUGGGGGUGAAAGGCCAAUCAAACCGGGAGAUAGCUGGUUCUCCCCGAAAGCUAUUUAGGUAGCGCCUCGUGAAUUCAUCUCCGGGGGUAGAGCACUGUUUCGGCAAGGGGGUCAUCCCGACUUACCAACCCGAUGCAAACUGCGAAUACCGGAGAAUGUUAUCACGGGAGACACACGGCGGGUGCUAACGUCCGUCGUGAAGAGGGAAACAACCCAGACCGCCAGCUAAGGUCCCAAAGUCAUGGUUAAGUGGGAAACGAUGUGGGAAGGCCCAGACAGCCAGGAUGUUGGCUUAGAAGCAGCCAUCAUUUAAAGAAAGCGUAAUAGCUCACUGGUCGAGUCGGCCUGCGCGGAAGAUGUAACGGGGCUAAACCAUGCACCGAAGCUGCGGCAGCGACGCUUAUGCGUUGUUGGGUAGGGGAGCGUUCUGUAAGCCUGCGAAGGUGUGCUGUGAGGCAUGCUGGAGGUAUCAGAAGUGCGAAUGCUGACAUAAGUAACGAUAAAGCGGGUGAAAAGCCCGCUCGCCGGAAGACCAAGGGUUCCUGUCCAACGUUAAUCGGGGCAGGGUGAGUCGACCCCUAAGGCGAGGCCGAAAGGCGUAGUCGAUGGGAAACAGGUUAAUAUUCCUGUACUUGGUGUUACUGCGAAGGGGGG